UUAACUCAAAUUUGUAUGGAGUUGGAACGUGUUCAUACGUUUGUCGCUAGGGGCGCUGUUCUAACUACAUACAAAUUAGAGUUA
Bombyx mori (domestic silkworm) is the source of this 84-nucleotide non-coding RNA. Lineage: Eukaryota; Metazoa; Arthropoda; Insecta; Lepidoptera; Bombycidae. The record is from Rfam.